UUGUGACCGUUGUUACGGUCA
Molecule: microRNA, 21 nt
Filed under: Caenorhabditis briggsae
Lineage: Eukaryota; Metazoa; Nematoda; Chromadorea; Rhabditida; Rhabditidae
Also listed under: 3 other names
Description: Cbr-Mir-2001_5p (mature (guide))
Source: RNAcentral